AUUGAACGCUGGCGGCAGGCCUAACACAUGCAAGUCGAACGAGUGGCGGACGGGUGAGUAAUGUCUGGGAAACUGCCUGAUGGAGGGGGAUAACUACUGGAAACGGUAGCUAAUACCGCAUACCAUCAGAUGUGCCACGAUGGGAUUAGCUUGUUGGUGGGGUGACGGCUAACAAAGGCGACGAUCCCUAGCUGGUCUGCGAGGAUGACCCGCCACACUAGAACGGAGACACGGUCCAGACUCCGACGGGAGGCGGAAGUGGUGAAUAUUGCACAAGGGGCGCAAGCCUGAUGCAGCCAUGCAGCGUGUAUGAAGAAGGCCUUCGGGUUGGAAAGUACUUGCAGCGGGGAGGCGUUACCCGCAGAAGAAGCACCGGCUAACUCCGUGCCAGCAGCCGCGGUAAUAC
RNAcentral lists this ribosomal RNA (406 nucleotides) under uncultured bacterium. RNAcentral describes it as "partial 16S ribosomal RNA". It matches the Rfam family "Bacterial small subunit ribosomal RNA", at positions 29 to 526 of the family's 1533-position model. The record is from RNAcentral.